ACAACCCUGACACAGUAGCAUUUGUGC
Molecule: non-coding RNA, 27 nt
Filed under: Cricetulus griseus (Chinese hamster)
Lineage: Eukaryota; Metazoa; Chordata; Mammalia; Rodentia; Cricetidae
Source: RNAcentral